RNAcentral lists this ribosomal RNA (253 nucleotides) under uncultured bacterium. RNAcentral describes it as "partial 16S ribosomal RNA". It matches the Rfam family "Bacterial small subunit ribosomal RNA", at positions 524 to 776 of the family's 1533-position model. The record is from RNAcentral.
UACAGAGGUCUCAAGCGUUGUUCGGAUUCAUUGGGCGUAAAGGGUGCGUAGGUGGCAUGGUAAGUCGGAUGUGAAAUCCCGGGGCUCAACCCCGGAACUGCAUUCGAUACUGCUGCGCUAGAGUACUGGAGAGGAGAUUGGAAUUUACGGUGUAGCAGUGAAAUGCGUAGAUAUCGUAAGGAAGACCAGUGGCGAAGGCGGAUCUCUGGACAGUUACUGACACUGAGGCACGAAGGCCAGGGGGGCAAACGGG